AAAGAACAUUCAGGAGAAGACAGAGGUCAACAGUGUCAGAUGCUUCAGAGAGGGACAGAACUUGAACUUUGGUCGUGCCAACUCCAAGACAUACUGACUCUAUUUUCUACUUUUUAAAGAUUUUUUUGAACCACCCCAUUAACAAGACUCCAUCAGUUCUUUCUCUGGAGAUGGAUAGCAUUUUUCAUAAGUCCUUCGGAAUUGUC
Molecule: long non-coding RNA, 206 nt
Organism: Dromiciops gliroides (monito del monte)
Lineage: Eukaryota; Metazoa; Chordata; Mammalia; Microbiotheria; Microbiotheriidae
Exons: 3
Source: RefSeq, a predicted model, not a curated record